AUUGAACGCUGGCGGCAUGCCUUACACAUGCAAGUCGAACGGUAACAGGUCAAGCUGACGAGUGGCGAACGGGUGAGUAAUAUAUCGGAACGUGCCCAGUCGUGGGGGAUAACGUAGCGAAAGCUGCGCUAAUACCGCAUACGAUCUCUGGAUGAAAGCGGGGGACUCGCAAGAGCCUCGCGCUAUUGGAGCGGCCGAUAUCAGAUUAGGUAGUUGGUGGGGUAAAAGCCCACCAAGCCGACGAUCUGUAGCUGGUCUGAGAGGACGACCAGCCACACUGGGACUGAGACACGGCCCAGACUCCUACGGGAGGCAGCAGUGGGGAAUUUUGGACAAUGGGCGAAAGCCUGAUCCAGCCAUGCCGCGUGCAGGACGAAGGCCUUCGGGUUGUAAACUGCUUUUGUACGGAACGAAACGGCUCUCUCUAAUACGGGGGGCUAAUGACGGUACCGUAAGAAUAAGCACCGGCUAACUACGUGCCAGCAGCCGCGGUAA
Molecule: ribosomal RNA, 495 nt
Filed under: uncultured bacterium
Lineage: Bacteria
Description: partial 16S ribosomal RNA
Rfam family: Bacterial small subunit ribosomal RNA
Source: RNAcentral